RNAcentral lists this unclassified non-coding RNA (596 nucleotides) under Hevea brasiliensis (rubber tree). Lineage: Eukaryota; Viridiplantae; Streptophyta; Magnoliopsida; Malpighiales; Euphorbiaceae. The record is from RNAcentral.
GAGAUUCAUGUGGGAGAGAUCAAGAGUUUCAAUAGCUCCAUGAGGAUCGCACCACACUCCAGUCCAGUUACAGUGAGUUGUAGUGUUGGACAAUUUCCAAUGUUGAAGCUUAUUUAAGGGAUCUAAAAGACCCCCUUUUAUCGAUAGCAGAGCUGAUGCUUCUUCAUUCAAAGCAGCAGAACCAAAAGAGUGAAAACCAAUGCAACAGCAGAAGAAGAAAACCAAGAUUCCCAACUUCAUAUUGUUCUUCCUCAUUGGUUCUUGAGUUACUCUCUUAGUUCUCUGCCAUAUUUUCACUCAGAUUUUUUCAGUGGAAAGAGACAGAGAGAAAGGAAGCAUGUGUCUGCGCAUGUGAAAAAGGUAUAUGGGAAGAAAUAGAAAGAAAAGACUGGUUAAGGAGUAAGAGUAGGUAUAUAUAAAUAAUAAAGAAAAGGAUGAUUAGAUUAAUUAUGGAGAGCUCGUGAGCUCUCGGGUUCUGCAACAGCACAGCUGUAAUAAGCAAGCAAUGACUAGUGACGGGGAAGCUUUUGGAGUCAUUGGAAGUUUCUCCGACAUCAAACAUGGUUAGAGAAUGUGUUCCUCACCACUGGUACCCA